AUAUAUAUAUAUAUAGAACUAGAUUGGAAUACUAUUAAUAGUACCAAUAAUUUAGUGCUAUUAAGUUUUCUACCAUUGGAUUAAAAUAUGUGCGGUUAGGAUGAUAUGGACUCCCUAUGGUUGAGUGAGUGAAUACUAUUAAUAGCGCCAAUGAUUUAGUGCUAUUAAGUUUUCUACCAUUGGAUUAAAAUAUGUGCGGUUAGGAUGAUAUAGGCUCCCUAUGGUUGAGUGGAUGGUUAGUUGAAUAGUAUAAUUGAACCGAUGAAAAUGAUAAAAGAGAUAAAUCUAACGGCAGAAAAUUUGAUAGUACCGAAUGCUCCGUGCUAUCGAUAGUAUUCCAGCUGGAAUAUAUAUAUAUAUAUAUAUAUAUAUAUA
RNAcentral lists this long non-coding RNA (375 nucleotides) under Ananas comosus (pineapple). RNAcentral's name for it is "long non-coding RNA (ACOM_LNC000087)". The record is from RNAcentral. Lineage: Eukaryota; Viridiplantae; Streptophyta; Magnoliopsida; Poales; Bromeliaceae.